This 85-nucleotide transfer RNA is filed under the name Patescibacteria group bacterium. RNAcentral's name for it is "tRNA-Leu". It matches the Rfam family "tRNA". Rfam says of the family: Transfer RNA (tRNA) molecules are approximately 80 nucleotides in length. The record is from RNAcentral.
GCAGGCGUGGCGGAACUGGUAUACGCGCUAGCCUUAGGAGCUAGUGGAAUAAUCUAUGAGAGUUCAAAUCUCUCCGCCUGCACCA